GGCCAGGUCCGAAGGUAGUGAGUUAUCGCAACUGACUGUUUACAAUCAGUUGUAGAUCAAACUUAUUGUUUUAUUCUUUCCUUCUUCUCACUACUGCACUUGACUAGCCUUAA
Molecule: Y RNA, 113 nt
Filed under: Prolemur simus (greater bamboo lemur)
Lineage: Eukaryota; Metazoa; Chordata; Mammalia; Primates; Lemuridae
Description: Y RNA (ENSPSMG00000008232.1)
Rfam family: Y RNA
About the family: Y RNAs are components of the Ro ribonucleoprotein particle (Ro RNP), in association with Ro60 and La proteins.
Source: Rfam by way of RNAcentral